AUCGUAUGUGGUUUUAAAACUAUACCAAUUCUAGUAAUAUAUAUAUGUUGUAAGAGACAAUGAAGAAUUUUUACCAAGUAGGAAUAUGGUUGUUGAUUUUUGUUUUCAUUAACUUUUAGGGAAAUAGGGGAUCAGUGGCAUUUGGCAAUUCAAGAAGCAAUUUUAGAAAAAUGCAGUGAUAAUGAUGGCAUUGUUCACAUUGCAGUAGACAAAAAUUCACGUGAGGUAAAGUAACUUUUGGUAUUGAAUUUCACGUUUUGGAUUUGUUGCUAUUAAACUAAGACUAUUUUCUUUCUUUUUUAAUAUCACAGGGUUGUGUAUAUGUUAAAUGUCUGUCUCCAGAAUAUGCUGGAAAGGCUUUUAAAGCAUUGCAUGGCUCUUGGUUUGAUGGGAAAUUGGUUACAGUAAAAUAUUUACGACUAGAUAGAUACCACCAUCGCUUUCCCCAGGCUCUCACUUCCAACACUCCAUUGAAGCCAUCAAAUAAACAUAUGAACUCUAUGUCUCAUCUUCGUCUUCGGACUGGCCUAACCAAUUCUCAAGGAAGUUCCUGAAAAGAUUUUCUUCCAUUUCUAAGACUGUUAUUUACAAUAGGAAAAUUCCUGUUUGGCUUUUUGUC
This 619-nucleotide small RNA is filed under the name Pan troglodytes (chimpanzee). RNAcentral describes it as "retained intron". Lineage: Eukaryota; Metazoa; Chordata; Mammalia; Primates; Hominidae. The record is from RNAcentral.